CAGUCGCCGCGGUAGUACGAAGGGUGCAAGCGUUAAUCGGAAUUACUGGGCGUAAAGCGUGCGUAGGCGGUUUGUUAAGUCUGUUGUGAAAUCCCCGGGCUCAACCUGGGAAUGGCAAUGGAUACUGGCAAGCUAGAGUGUGUCAGAGGAUGGUGGAAUUCCCGGUGUAGCGGUGAAAUGCGUAGAGAUCGGGAGGAACAUCAGUGGCGAAGGCGGCCAUCUGGGACAACACUGACGCUGAGGCACGAAAGCGUGGGGAGCAAACAGGAUUAGAUACCCCAGUAGUCCCUGUCUCUUAUAA
RNAcentral lists this ribosomal RNA (301 nucleotides) under uncultured bacterium. RNAcentral describes it as "partial 16S ribosomal RNA". It matches the Rfam family "Bacterial small subunit ribosomal RNA", at positions 509 to 809 of the family's 1533-position model. The record is from RNAcentral.